Molecule: unclassified non-coding RNA, 2829 nt
Filed under: Hevea brasiliensis (rubber tree)
Lineage: Eukaryota; Viridiplantae; Streptophyta; Magnoliopsida; Malpighiales; Euphorbiaceae
Source: RNAcentral
CAGAGGGAGAAGAGAUGAAGUACAGGUGUAAAGUGUGGAUUUGGAAUCAAAAAACUAUUGCUGCAAUACUCGCCGGGAAACAUUCGACUCGCGAAACAAGAGAACUGCAAAGCUGUCGCAAACGAGUAUAUAGAAUGUGAAUUAAUGGUUAUUUAAUGCCCUUUUGGUUGCUAUUGUACUUUAAUUGCUCUCUGUCUCUCUGUGCCUUGGCCCAGUGAAAUUUUUUAUAUAUUUUUUUGCUUGAAUUUUGUAGAUUAUUCUGAUUGAUUUAGUUCUGCACAAGCCAAAAGGGUAUAGACAUCUUCUCUAUAAUGUGCUUCAAGAAACUGUGAAAUUAGAGGUACAGGCUGCGUACUUUGAUUAUUUCAUGUUUUGUUCAAGUCUUCCUACAUUUAGAUUUUCAACAUGGGCAUUAUUAUAUCUUUAUCUCGAGUGAAUGGAUGCCUUGUUCAAUAGAAGUUUAGAUUCCUUCAUUAUUGUUUAAACGAUAUUGGUGGAAUUAGCAAGCUUAAUAUCUUGAUUGGGACAUUCCUUUGUAGAGUACUUGCACGGAAUGCUUUCAGGACAUGAAUGCUUAUUAGAUUUUAUUUUUUUUUUUCCAGCUUAGUGUGCUGAGCUGCCUCAAUCUUUUCCUUCAAACAUGAAUAAUCUGCUGUUUCCAUUAAGGCUCUCCAUUGUAGGGAAACUAUUCUGCUUCAUUCCAUUAGACAAUCUGUCGUGUUUCUUUGAUGGUCCAGUAAGCCUCUUUCUUUUCUUUCAACAUCAGGAUAACACUUUGUUAUCAAUCAAUCAUCAAUAAAUAGAAGCAGACGAUGAAGCAGUUUCUAGAAUGGCCUGUCGUGUAAGUCGAGUAGAUGCAAAUGUCAACUGGUUUCGGUUAAACAUAACUGAUAGUUGAUUUUUCUUAAUAGAACAUUUAUAGAUGGCAUUCAUCAUCAGGAGAAAGGUCUAAAAGAUAUCCAAAAGUGGGUAUUUGUCAACUCGUUGAGCUACUGUUAUGCACAUUUACGAGGUAGGAAAUAAAUAUGUAACAGGUACAAAGUAGGCUGCAUCAACUCAUGUAGUAGUUUCUAAACAGCGAGUUCAGGACUUUAUAUAGACCUGAAUACUAAGUAGUAUGCGGCUAAUCCAAGCAUAAGAAUUCCCUACUUACAACUAUGACCAAAAGCAGGCCUAUGAGUGCUUUAAUAAAAUAAACUGAUGGUGGACAACUUUGGCAUAAUGGACAUGUCUCCGUGCGAAUGAACGAGUCUGUCUUGUUGCAAGUAGCCGUUGCAUUUGCUCUUAAUUUCAAAUUUGUCUUAGCAAUAACUGUUUUCUGGUAUUUUUCAGUCUUCACAUUGAUGCUUUCCUUGGGGGAUUCCUGAGGCAGAACAAGGGCAGUAACAGGCUUCCUAGCUUUUUUCGCCUGCAGACAGAAAUCAAGUAGAGGUUAAUUUUUAUUGCUGGACGAGUGCAUUUCAAGUGCUCUAUGUGAAUCUCAAGUUUCUCACCUUAUGUUCGGAUGCGCCUGACAAUUUGCCCUGAAUUAUACUUCCUUGUUUGUGAGUCCUCGUAGGGACAGGAACUUCUUUGCUGACAACUCUAACAGAUAUGUCUUCAUGGCUAUCUAUGGUUGAAUCUGCUGAGGGAGAGGAAAUAUCCAUUUGUAGUAUACGAUUCUUUUCACUUCCAUUCUGGUCAAAUGUUGAAGAAGGCACAGUUUCAGUAAUUGUUUGAACCGUUUGCAUCUGCCGGUAAUGCCCAUUGUUCAAGUUGGAAGCUCCAAAUUGCGAAGACUGUAAUAAAGAUAUGAGUAGAAAUAUUUUCAGGUGUGCUCAAAUUUCAAAGCCCUGAGUAAAUUUCUCUUAUACAGCUGCAAAUAAUUACUGAUUUAAGGUUUGCAUGCUACCAGAGAUUUAGGAGAAUUAUAUUUACCCUUUCAUAGAGAAUUUCAGCUUCCAUGUCACUAAUAUCAUCAUUAAUAUCGUCAUGAUACAAUCCACCCAAUAAAUUGGGUGAGCUGGAAUGAUUGCAGCUAAUGCGUGCACUUUCUUGACGAUUAUGAUCAUCUUGAUUCACAAGAACUGGAUACAGGUACUCUUCACCGCUGUGUUCAUCAGGUACAACAGUAAAUGAAUCUGCCAUCUCAUUGGGAUCUUCCUCCAUCACUGGCAACCUAUCAGAGUCAUUGUCGAAGAAAUUUAUGGACAUUAGAUCAUCAAUGGAUAUGCCUUCAUCCAUGUGGAAUUGGGGAUGCUCUGGGGAGGGAUUUUUGAAAUUUGGCCCACAAGUACUAGCAAGCAAAGAUUCCAGAAGUAGCUCCGAUUCGACCUGGAGAAAACAAUGAUAGAGAAGCAAUUGCAUUAGUCCUGGACAUAUAUCUAAUUUGAUAACUGGUAAUAAAAUGCUGUAUAUUUGAACUAGAUAUACAUUAAAGAAAUUAGGCACUCUUCUCUCACCUGUGAGAUUGGAAUCUCUAUUGGAUGAUGAUCAGAAGCCCUGCUACUACUAGGUUGACCUUCUUCACAAGCAGAUGUACGAGCCUUGUCAUCUCUUUUUGCCUUUAAUUUACAGAGAACAAAAUCUGUCUGGUUAGGAGUUUUAGGCUGAUACUCGUGAAUGACCCAGUUGGUCUUCACCUCCUUGGGGCUGCCACGCUUAUAAAAAACCAAAGUCCUCUUUGUACCAAUCUCACUGUUAGUGCGACUGGCCGUGAUUGUACGCUCAUUACCAGUUGGUUUCCAGUGUCCACUCUGUGUUGAUCUGUUGAACCGUUGUCUGGUGGUAUUUUUAUACUUAUUCUCCCUUCUAUGAAAGAAAUACCACACCUGAUCAUUUGACCCCCCC